This 25-nucleotide transfer RNA is filed under the name Juniperus communis (common juniper). RNAcentral's name for it is "partial tRNA-His". Lineage: Eukaryota; Viridiplantae; Streptophyta; Pinopsida; Cupressales; Cupressaceae. The record is from RNAcentral.
CGGACGUAGCCAAGUGGUUCCAAGG